This 52-nucleotide ribosomal RNA is filed under the name Russula mutabilis. Its description in RNAcentral is "partial 5.8S ribosomal RNA". It matches the Rfam family "5.8S ribosomal RNA", at positions 1 to 51 of the family's 154-position model. From Rfam's summary of the family: 5.8S ribosomal RNA (5.8S rRNA) is a component of the large subunit of the eukaryotic ribosome. Lineage: Eukaryota; Fungi; Basidiomycota; Agaricomycetes; Russulales; Russulaceae. The record is from RNAcentral.
CAACUUUCAACAACGGAUCUCUUGGCUCUCGCAUCGAUGAAGAACGCAGCAA